Equus caballus (horse) is the source of this 4245-nucleotide long non-coding RNA. Lineage: Eukaryota; Metazoa; Chordata; Mammalia; Perissodactyla; Equidae. The record is from Ensembl.
AUCCAUGUGUGUUAGUCUUGGCUCCCUCGAAUGGAUCUUAAGCUUCUUGAGGGCAGGGCCCUUGACUUGCAAUUACAUGAAGAGACGGUCCCUGUGGAAAGAGCUCUGGAGAGGAAUUCAGGACACCUGUGUUUAGUCUUUUCUCAUUCACAGUAUGAGCUUGGUAAGGAAAUGGAGGGGUCCAAGAUGCUAGGUAACUUAUCCACUGAAUCCAGAGCCCAAACUCUUGCCAACUUUGUUGUAGGGCUUCUCCACAGGGCCAGCUGGGUGAAGAAACUGAGGCCCAGAAAGGUGCUAGCAGCAAUAGUGGUCCUCUCUGAUUUUCAGUUUUUCGAAGACCACUGCAAUUCGCAAGUAGAUCCUGCAUUUGGAAUUUGCCAGAGUCACUUUGGAAGUUCCCGGGGCAGCACCAUAGGUACUGGGCUCCCAGGCCUUUGUGGGAUCCAAGACCCUGAGGCUAAACAUGAGAUAGACCCAGAGCUCCCACCCUGGCCCCAUUGGAAAACAAACUCCUCUGCCUCCUACUUGCAGUGCUGAAAAGUGGUAGAGGUUUUGAAUCAAAUCUUUGUAAAUACCAAAUUUUAGCCGAAUCACCUUCCCUCCGGGGCCAUUACAAGAUGCCAAAUUCAACUGUCUCAUUUCCUUUCAAGCCCAUGUUUUUCCCAGGGUGGUAUUUCAUGGUUAUUAUUCUUUGCCCUGCUCUUAAUGAGAGAAACAGGUAGUGAUCUGCAUACUCUAGUUGAUAAUGCUUCCUAAUAAUAUUGUAAUCUGAGUUUAUAUAAUAUGUAAUCUGAAGGGUGUGGAGGGAUCUGUGUCUAAGAAAAGAGUAUUGCCUCCCUGCCUCUGUGACAAAUAAAGGAUUUUAGUCUGAUUCAUAACCUUUUACAAACAGCUCCAUCUUGACCAGACCAUUGUAUUUGGUGACCUAUUCAAUUUAUUAAUGUUUCACAUUGGGCCUAAGUGCCUACAAUGGGAAAAUGACAACAAGUGAGUACCAGUGACCUCAUUAACUUGGCUAACGCUGCUAAACGGAUGGCUUGGCAUUAUGAAAGUUUGCCCCAUGGAAAUCCUUCUGUCUGGGGACAAAGAUAGUAAGACACAACCUUACUAUUAGCUGCUGCAGAGAUUUAUAUGUUCUGUUGCUUUGUUCAUUUGCAUACAUCCAAUGCCUUUUCUUUUAUAAGUACUAACUUUUGUGCCCAAAUGACACCACCCUGUAAAUGGGAUUCAUCUUUGGCUCAAUUUGCCUAUCAGCACAAAUCUGUAAUGCUUUAGGAAGUAGAGUGUUUCAUGGUUCAGUUUCGGGAACCAGAAACCAUUCUAGCUCUUUUAAGAAGAGAUUUAACUAUAGGGCAUUUGUCCUUAUAAAAUUGGAGUUCUGAGCUCAAUAUUGGGCCUGCAGGAGUAACUCCCGGAGCAAUGCCGCUGAACUGGCCUGAAAUUUUAGCUGCUGCUUGAUCAGGAAGGUGGGGGGAUCAGGAGGCUGCCAUGGAACUGUGGAAUUCAAGAGCUCACACAAUAGCCUCACAAAGCUAGUGACUAGACACUGGAACUCUGCCACAGAAAAGCUAAUAUCUCCCCUCCCCAACUCUACGAGAGCAGGGUGAUUGCCCUCACCUCCCUUGGACCUUCCAGAUCUCAUGUGAUUGCGUCUACUUGGUGGGUCCUGAUUCCAGAACUCCUCCUGCAAGGGAAUGGAAAGAUGUUUUUUAGCUUUCUGGUCUCUGUACUACUGGAAUGCACAUUAGAGGGUAGUUGGAAUGGAUGUUGACUGCUAAUUCACCAUUUCCAUCUCACAGCCUGAAGAAGCAAAAUGUGUAACAGGAUAGGAAAUCCGUGGGUUCUCUUUCUCUUCCUGAUGCCCUUUGAUUUUCACUUAGACAAGUGAAUUUUUUUUCACUAAUGUAGUAAAAAUAAUGAUGAUUCUACAGUAUUUUUCUACUAUUUGUCUGAAAUAGCUUGGCACCUUCACAGCCCUUUCCCAGGUGUUGAUUGAAGAUAUAAUCUGAGUCUCUGAGAUUCUCCAUUCUUUCAUCUUCUGUUCUAACUAGUUGCUUCUGACUUCUCCAUUGGCUCCCCUUUGUUUCUUUCUCACUCAGUGCCCAUUCCCCUCAAAUUAUUGUUUUGGCAGCAUUGUGUUGCUUGGCCUGAGUUUUCUUUCUGGAAGCUAUUUUGGGAUCUUCCUUGUUCUUAGGCUCAGGAACCAGAGGAAGCCUUAAGCAAAUGCCCACCCCUCUUCUUCUAACCCCAUCCUUGGUGUGUCACUUGGACCACUAGUCAUCCAGGAGGGAGCUGGGCCAGUAAUAGUUAUGUUACUGAAAUGCUCUUAAAAUUUUUUGUUAGAAAAAUUCAAACAGAGUUAGAUAUGUAAGUUGAUCAAAUGGCAACAUCUAAGGGUUGCAUUCAUUUCCCAUUGCUAAGCUGCCCUGACCUUGCUAGAAUUGGCACCUAGCAUAGUCAGAGUAAGCAUACAAUAUUGGUUGAAUUAAUUACGGAAUUUAAUGGCCAUGAAGCCACAUGUUCAAAACUCAUUCAAGUAUUUUGAUAGGUAAGAAUUCUGCUUUAAGUUUAUGCAUCUUCCUUUGGAAUACAAACCUUACAGAGUGCUGUGCUAUCAAGCUAUCUGACUAUACAGUGUGGCUUAAUUACCAAAGGGAGCGAUUAAGCUACGUGUCAGAGCUCUUCAGGUAAUUGAUUGAAUCACACAGCUGAAAGGCCUGGGACAAUCUUCAAGAGCAGCUCAUCAGGGAUCAUAUGGUGUCAUUAGAACCUGUCUUCCUUUCACCUCCAAUGGCUAUAUGCCUACCUUCUGCUUUGUUCAAUUCAUUGUCAGGCUAUACAUGAUGGCUUCAAGCAACUACAAAAACACAUGAACCCAAUAUCAAAUCCAGUGGGAGGGCCUGGCCCCAUGGCCCAGUGGUUGGGUUCCCGGCGCUCUGAUUCGGUGGCCCAGGCUUUCGCCAGUUUGAGUCCUGGGCGUGGACAUGGCACCUCUCAUUGGGCCAUGGCAGCAUCCCGCAUGCCACGGCUGGAGGGACCCACAACUGGAAAUACACAGCUGUGUACCAAGGGGCUUUGGGACAAAAAGGAAAAAUAAAAUCUUUUAAAGAAAUUUAAAAAGAUCCAGUGGGAAAGAGAGUUCACUUUCCCCAUAGUACAAACAGAAGUCUAAGACCUGAACCUCCUUAGCCCUGAUUGGCUUGAUUUAGGUCAUGUGCCCAUCUAGGAACCUAUCAGUGGCUGGGGGGAUGGAUGCUCUGACUUAGUCUUGGUCUUAAACUCAACCCUUGAAUCCAGAGAUAGAAUCAGCUUUUUCAUUGAAGGAUUGAGAAUGGGGCUGGAGUGGGUCCUCAAAUGGAAAUUUAGGAAUUGUUAUCACAGGAGAAAAAGUAGAUAGAUGCUAGACAGCAAAGCAACACAUGUCUACCACAAGCAGAAAGCAAGAUAUCUAUACCAAGAAGAUUGUGUCCCUAGAAACUUAUAGAGGAUAUGAAGUCAAGAACCAUCCUGAAAUUUCUGGCUGUGUUUCAGUGUUCUGAGCCACAGGUCCAACUGACUCUCUGAAAGCAAUUUUUUUUUUUUUUUUUUUGUCGUGAAAUAAAUAAAAGAAAAACUGAGAGCCAGCUUUAGGGACAUGAAUCUAGAGUCACACUGAAAUGGACCAUGAUGGAAUACACCCUGUGGUUCUCAGGAAUGAUGCAAGACUCUGGGUACUAUUUGUCUGGAUUUCUGUUUUUAAUUUAAACUUGAUGUAAUGCUUAAAAAGAAAAAAUUUCAAACAUACACAAAUGUAGUGAGAUGGUACAAUGAACCCACCCAAAUUAAAUCACUGUCUAGAUUUUGUCCUUUUUUUCAUCUAUUGUCUCCCUUUUUCCUCUUUGCUGAAAUAUUUUAAAGCAAAUCUCAGAUUUCAUUUCAUUUUACCCCUGUACACCUCAGUAUCAAAUAUUCUUUUUUAAUAACCUUAUUUUGUUAUUGUUAUUUAAUACAGCUGGGAAGCAUUCAGCUAUAAAUCCAAAUAUUCUUGAGCAUCAGGAGCUUAAACUCCUUUCUCUAGAACCACAGAAGCCAAAUACACCGCUGACCGAGUAACAGGCCUACAGAGUAUUCACAGUAAAGAUUGCAGCAUUCCAAACAACAAGAAAGGAAUUAAAAAGAUAGUGUGUUCUAUGCCUACAUGGACGGGACUUUGGCUAGCUUCUUGUUGAAGCAGUUUGGACAUUUGAAAGAUACUACAACUCCAGG